RNAcentral lists this ribosomal RNA (533 nucleotides) under uncultured bacterium. RNAcentral describes it as "bacterial SSU rRNA". It matches the Rfam family "Bacterial small subunit ribosomal RNA", at positions 8 to 597 of the family's 1533-position model. The record is from RNAcentral.
AGAGUUUGAUUCUGGCUCAGAACGAACGCUGGCGGCAGGCCUAAUACAUGCAAGUCGAACGAUAUAGUGGCAGACGGGUGAGUAACGCGUGGGGAUGUGCCCUUCACUAAGGAAUAGCUUUUGGAAACGAAAGGUAAUACCUUAUACGCCCUUCGGGGGAAAGAUUUAUCGGUGAAGGAUCAACCCGCGUUAGAUUAGCUAGUUGGUGAGGUAAUGGCUCACCAAGGCGACGAUCUAUAGCUGGUCUGAGAGGACGACCAGCCACACUGGGACUGAGACACGGCCCAGACUCCUACGGGAGGCAGCAGUAGGGAAUCUUGCACAAUGGGCGAAAGCCUGAUGCAGCCAUGCCGCGUGAAUGAUGAAGGCCUUAGGGUUGUAAAAUUCUUUCAUCAGGGAUGAUAAUGACAGUACCUGAAGAAGAAGCCCCGGCUAACUUCGUGCCAGCAGCCGCGGUAAUACGAAGGGGGCUAGCGUUGUUCGGAAUUACUGGGCGUAAAGAGUUCGUAGGCGGACUUUUAAGUCAGAUGUGA